Molecule: transfer RNA, 77 nt
Filed under: Camponotus floridanus (Florida carpenter ant)
Lineage: Eukaryota; Metazoa; Arthropoda; Insecta; Hymenoptera; Formicidae
Source: Rfam by way of RNAcentral
GUCUGGAUAGCUCAGUGAUUUAGAGCAGUUGCGUGGAAAACAAAAGAAAAACUCGAGUUCGAUUUCCGAUCCAGCCA